Molecule: ribosomal RNA, 486 nt
Filed under: Triticum aestivum (bread wheat)
Lineage: Eukaryota; Viridiplantae; Streptophyta; Magnoliopsida; Poales; Poaceae
Description: partial small subunit ribosomal RNA
Source: RNAcentral
AAUAUGUUCCCCUUCGAGAGGUUCAUGGGAGUAUUAAAGAAAUAUGUUCGUAACCGUGCUAGGCCAGAAGGAAGCAUCGCCAAGGGCUAUGGAAAUGAGGAGGUAAUUGAGUUUUGUGUUGACUUUGUUCCUGACCUUAAGCCGAUUGGUCUUCCUCGAUCGCGGCACAAGGGGAGACUAAGUGGAAAAGGCACGAUCGGAAGGAAAUCAACGAUAUGUAUGGACGGCCAUUCUCUGACUGAAGCACACCACACUGUACUGACCAAUUCCAGCUUGGUGGCUCCGUACUUUGAGAAACACAAGAAUAUUUUACGCUCGGACAACCCGGGGAAGCCUGAAUCCUGGAUUAGGAAGGCCCACAUGGAGACUUUCGGCAGUUGGUUGAGAAAACAUUUAAUGAAUGACAAUGAUGUUGUAGAUCAGCUGUACAUGUUGGCCAAGACACCAUCUUCGACUAUAACGACUUUCCAAGGGUACGAGAUAAAU